GAUGAACGCUGGCGGCGUGCCUAAUACAUGCAAGUCGAACGAGGCCCUUUGUAUUCGUACGAAGGUGUCCUAGUGGCGAACGGGUGAGUAACACGUAGGUGACCUACCCCUAAGCGGGGGACAACUCCGGGAAACUGGAGCUAAUACCCCAUGUUCUCCAUGGUGUUAGAGGACCAUGGAGCAAAGGAGCAAUCCACUUUGGGAGGGGCCUGCGGCCCAUCAGCUAGUUGGUAGGGUAAUGGCCUACCAAGGCUAUGACGGGUAGGGGACCUGAGAGGGUGGUCCCCCACACUGACACUGAAACACGGGUCAGACACCUACGGGUGGCAGCAGUAGGGAAUAUUGCACAAUGGGCGAAAGCCUGAUGCAGCAACGCCGCGUGCGCGAUGAAGGCCUUCGGGUUGUAAAGCGCUUUUCUGGGGGAAGAGGAAGGACGGUACCCC
RNAcentral lists this ribosomal RNA (443 nucleotides) under uncultured Bellilinea sp. RNAcentral describes it as "bacterial SSU rRNA". It matches the Rfam family "Bacterial small subunit ribosomal RNA", at positions 28 to 481 of the family's 1533-position model. The record is from RNAcentral. Lineage: Bacteria; Bacillati; Chloroflexota; Anaerolineae; Anaerolineales; Anaerolineaceae.